This 301-nucleotide ribosomal RNA is filed under the name uncultured bacterium. RNAcentral describes it as "partial 16S ribosomal RNA". It matches the Rfam family "Bacterial small subunit ribosomal RNA", at positions 509 to 807 of the family's 1533-position model. The record is from RNAcentral.
CAGUCGCCGCGGUAAUACGUAGGUGGCAAGCGUUGUCCGGAAUUAUUGGGCGUAAAGGGCUCGCAGGCGGUUUCUUAAGUCUGAUGUGAAAGCCCCCGGCUCAACCGGGGAGGGUCAUUGGGAACUGGGAAACUUGAGUGCAGAAGAGGAGAGUGGAAUUCCACGUGUAGCGGUGAAAUGCGUAGAGAUGUGGAGGAACACCAGUGGCGAAGGCGACUCUCUGGUCUGUAACUGACGCUGAGGAGCGAAAGCGUGGGGAGCGAACAGGAUUAGAUACCCCUGUAGUCCCUGUCUCUUAUAC